This 142-nucleotide ribosomal RNA is filed under the name uncultured eukaryote. RNAcentral describes it as "partial 18S ribosomal RNA". It matches the Rfam family "Eukaryotic small subunit ribosomal RNA", at positions 1299 to 1458 of the family's 1831-position model. The record is from RNAcentral.
UGGUGGAGUGAUUUGUCUGGUUAAUUCCGAUAACGAACGAGACCUUAACCUGCUAAUUAGUCAGGCCCACAAUUUUGUUGGGAUUUCUGGCUUCUUAGAGGGACUGUUGAUGUUUAAUCAACGGAAGUUUGAGGCAAUAACA